CCUACGGGUGGCAGCAGUGAGGAAUAUUGGUCAAUGGUCGUAAGCCUGAACCAGCCAAGUCGCGUGAGGGAUGAAGGUACUAUGGAUCGUAAACCUCUUUUGUAAGGGAAUAAAGUGUGGGACGCGUCCCCCUUCGCAUGUACCUUAUGAAUAAGGAUCGGCUAACUCCGUGCCAGCAGCCGCGGUAAUACGGAGGAUCCGAGCGUUAUCCGGAUUUAUUGGGUUUAAAGGGUGCGUAGGCGGGCUUUUAAGUCAGCGGUGAAAGUCUGUGGCUCAACCAUAGAAUUGCCGUUGAAACUGGCAGGCUUGAGUAGGUGUGAGGGAGGCGGAAUGCGUGGUGUAGCGGUGAAAUGCAUAGAUAUCACGCAGAACUCCGAUUGCGAAGGCAGCAUGCCAACCCCACACUGACGCUGAGGCACGAAAGCGUGGGGAUCGAACAGGAUUAGAUACCCUUGUAGUC
RNAcentral lists this ribosomal RNA (460 nucleotides) under uncultured bacterium. RNAcentral's name for it is "partial 16S ribosomal RNA". It matches the Rfam family "Bacterial small subunit ribosomal RNA", at positions 338 to 795 of the family's 1533-position model. The record is from RNAcentral.